GCCGGCUACCGGCAUUCGUAAACCAACCAUCGUACCAUUUACAUCAAGUAAAGUCAACUAAAGUUUUUUUAACUCUUACGCUGAUUUAUAUCAUAAAUUUUUUGAAGACAACAACAGACAAGAGUCAUGUAAAGGCAUCGCAGUGCGUGCGGAGCGCGCCAGUUUUCCAGCGCCCUACGGGCUUGGUGCUAGAACAAUCCGUACACUACUUCUACUCUUCCACCGCUCCUGAGCCAGGUUAGAUUCCCAAAUCUAUCCACUUCUGAGUGAGAACGCACACACUAGUGCUUGCAUUAUACAUUCGGGAUGUAGCAUCAAGGUUAAACCCGAGCAAAUAAGUGCUGAGAUAACUGAGAAACAGGCUGAAGGGAAUAAAAAAAUAUCUGAUUGAGAAAAAAAAUACAACUGGAUCGAAUAGUUUAAAAAUCGGAGCUUCGGUUCCGUCCAGGGCUUUUAGCCCUGUUGGGUUAUAAGCUGUGCAGGCAGGAUAUUAGGAAUUGAGCUCAAGUGAUUACCUUUUUUGGCGCCGUAAUAGUGAGAACUCCAUCAGAAGAAAGACUCGAGGUAACUUGCAGUGGGUCGUGAGACGAGGGAAGAAUAUAUCUUCUGAUAAAGUGCCUGGUGAUAAAUCCGUGCUCGUCCUUUCUUUCUUCGUGUUUCGCCUCCACUAUAAUAUUGUUGUCAACUGUUUUGACAAUUAUUUCAUCUGGCGAGAAUUGUUGAACGUCUAGUAUCACCUGAAAACAAAAUAAUAGCUUAGCAAAUCGGGAGUACAAAAAUUGUAUUAUGCAGAAAGUCAGCUUUAGAUUCAUUAAAGCAAAGAUUCAUUGAAUUUAAAGUCACUUAAAGGUCUACUUGUCAAAGAAAUUAACUAUUACAAUAAAAAUAAUUAUUAUUUCGAGUCAUUUAAAAACAUCUAGUCGCAGUAUAUAGGCAAUUAGAUAUUUUUAACUUAAAUUUGACUCGCGAGUUCGCUCGCGAGUCGACUUCUGACAUAAACAAUUACAGUGAAUUAAAUAAAUUUCCAUUUUUUAUGUAAAAUUUUCAAAUAAAUUUUUUCAAUAAUUUUAUGAACGAUAUUGCUGAAGAAAUGUAGUGAAUACGAAGGCCUACUUGUGUGAAAAUACUCUUUUUAUCAAAAGUAGUGCGUGCAUACAAGUAGGUGAUGACAAUUGCCCUAAGCGAUUGCGAGAAGAAGAGUUUAGGCGUUUUACAUACCAUCUAUUUGUACAGUAUGAUUGAUUUUUUUGAGCAAGUGAAUAUUCGAGUUUCAUGUAAACUGAAUGAUUAUUAUCGUUUGAGAACAGAGAAUUAAUUUAUGCUGUAAAUGCGAGUGCGAGAGAUAAAGCAAAAAAUAUUGUGAGAUUUUUUAGUGAUAGUAAAAAAUAGAAAUAUUAGUUAAGUUGAAUUAUUGGCUGUCAGAAUUUCAAAAGAUUUAUUUUUUUAUUCACAUAUUAAAUAAAUAGAAAAAGUUUUAUUUAACCCUUAACCCCAUCGGGGGGUUAGGGGAGGGAUAAACAAACAAAAGAUUUUAUUAUUCUUGACAAUAUACAUAAAUAAAUCCGGUAAUUGUUGAAAGAAGACUGAACUGAGUACUAAAGCCCACGUUUAAAAGGAAAAAGUGAAAAGUAAAAAAAAAAUUUGAUAGUAUUUAUUAUUAUUACAGUUAAAAAUAAAAAUUCUACUGUGACCCAGAAUAUUCAAUUUUACACGUUAAAUUUAAAAAUUACUGUAUUAUUGUAUACGAAAAAAAAAUAUUUAAAGUCAGUGUUGAACAAAGAAAAAAAAAAAAUAAAGAGGGCAUUUCGUGAACUGAAUUAGGUUUUCCAUACCCCUCUCAAAAAGAGAGGGGUUAUAACAAAAAAUAAUAAAAAUAUGGAAUAUCAUUAAAUAAUUAGAUUGUUUAUUUAUCGAUUCGUUACUAAAAACAGUACGUAUCGAAAUUACUUAACACAAAAUGCUAUGUCAGCAAAAAGGCAAAUAUCUUUUGAUAUCAUAUCAUGAAGAUUUUCUUCCUUCUCUUAAUUCAAAUAAGUAUUCUUUGCCAAUUAUAGCUUCCUAAGUAUAAUUUAAAACCAUUGUUUGAUUAUAAAAAUUGUGUAUCAUUUGAGAAUCAUUUUUCUCUUGAAAGCCCUUAAAUUCUUUUGUCCAUUGAAUUAUUGCUAAAUAAAUACUUUUUCAAUAACCCGAGAGGGAUCUUUUGAUCCCUCUCCAUGAUCAUCAUUCAAAAACUCAUGAAAAAAUAGAGCUAAAAACCUAAAUAUUCCUUGAUUCAAUUUUUAUAACACACAAUUUAUUUCAAGAAUAAGUUUAGGAAUAGUUUAUAAUAGAGAACAAAACGUAUGCUAAAGGUCAUAGUAGGUUUAUCACUAAACACUUGAUUAUCAGGAUCACUAAGUUACAAUUUAUUGAUAGCAUUAAGGAUAAGGUGUUUGAUAAGAAGGAUUGCAUUGUUAGAUUAUUAAGCGUUUUAUCCAGUUGAAUACAUUGACUUUACUGAGUGUAGUGGUGAAAGAAAAAUCAAAGGCAUAAAAACUUAUUAAACAAUCAUUUACACGGUCUUGUCGAUUUUAACUAGAGGUUAGAGGGCACAACUAGGAGCUUUUAAAGAUUUACCAUUAUUAUAAGUGCUGAUAAUAAUUUCUUUCAAGUCCUAUAUUCAUUACUUUCUUCAAGUUUAGUAGAUUUUUUAACUCGUGUCGUGGAAGUUUUUGGAAUACUAGGGUAUUCUAAACUUCCACGACACGAUUUUUAGUGAUUAAAUUUUUUUUUGUUUUCUAUUCAUAAUUAUUCAUUCGUAUUUUUGACUGAAGUUGCAAGUGUGAAUUUUUUCUAUCAAAGAUUUCUUAAUCAGCACUUUAAUAUAAGGUUUAAGAUAAUGCUUGACUAUUUUGCUUAUUUAUAAGUUGAUAGUUCCUUUUGAAGUUUAUUUUGAUAUCUCUUUUUUAUUUUUUUGUUCAUUUAUUUUUAAAAUGAUAUAAAAUUUGAUUUGAUACUUGAAUAUUCCAGAUCUUCCGAUAAAUUUAGUAUAACAUAAGAAAGUAAAUUAAAAAUAAAAUCUUAUAAAUUAUUAUCAUUAAUUUCUUUAACUAGAUUUGUGCCUUUUUAAUUAUAGUUUAUCAAUAAUCGAUUUAUUUUAUCACUUAAAAUCAUAACUUUAGUAGAUUCUUAAAAGUUACUAGGCUUGGCGACUCUCGCUUCUUCCGAAACUUUCUUCUUGAUUAGUCUCGGAAAAAUCGAGAGUCGCCGUAUUUUUAUUUCACUUUAUUUCACUCUUUUCUUUUAUAUCAAUGAUAAUUUUCCACUAAUUAUACUUCAUAUUGUGUGUGUUUGAAAAUUUCAUGGGUUUGACUUUCCAGCAAUUAUAUAAACUAGAGUGGGUAAAGCUAAGGUAUUAAAAACAACGCUAAAAAAGAUAAGAAAUAUUAUAAGCUUCUAUAAUUCUCAUUAUAUGGCUGGUGUCAAUGAAAUAGAGUUAAUGAUACUUAAUGAAAACUGGCAAAAUGUGACAGUGAACCAACUACACGAAAUAAUAAAAUAAAACAUACGGUCCGUAUCUUAACCAGCAGUCAUAGUAAACGAGUGAAAAAAAGUAACUAUAUCAGUAAAGUUUAAACUAAAAAUAAUAGAGAAUGUUAAUGAAAUAAUUAUAAUACUUCUUAUAACAAAUAAAAAAAGUGUCACCACCACCGUAUAUCACAGCGAAUUAUUAAAUAUUGAAUAAUUGAAUAAUAAACAGUAAUUUAAAAUCAUUGUUUCUAAUUUAACUUGAAAAAAAAACUGUCGUGAUUAAAUACCCAUUAAUCGAUAUCUUAUAACUUAAGAUUAAUUACUAGGAACACGAUAGGAAUAUGUUGGUAUAGGUAAUAUUUGAUGAUUAAUUAUAUUCGCACGAGCUUUUUGCUUGCCAUCUAAUUAUUUGCACAAACGGUUGAUGAAAAGAUCGUGGUUUAGUAAGAGGUAUCAGUGAGAAAUAAUGUUUAAAUAAAAUACUCAUAACAUUCAGUGUAACAUUUAAAAAUCAAUGGUAAUACUCGUGUUUAAAGUAUCGAUAAGUAUUUCAAAGAAUUAGCACUUACUUCAAAUUUAUUCUGAUCACACUGGAUAGUGCUUACACCUCCAGAUUUAGUGGUCGCGAGUGUUCGCCACGGCCGAUAGUAAGACGGAGUCGAGAAUAAAGAACGAGGUCUAUUGAAGCUCCAUGAUGAAAUAUCAGAGAAUAAGUCGUCUCGAGUUAAACCGCUCCCAAAAUGUUGAUCGAUAAGUCUAGAGAUAGGGCGAUCGAAGUCAUCCCACCAAUUGUGAAAAAAAAGCGGUACCACCGACAUUAUCUAAAAGAGGAAAAAGAAUAUGAGUAAUGUUAGAAAUCAAAUAAUCACUUCAACUUAUUAAAUCAAUAGUUAGAGUUGCAUUAAUGAUGAGUUUAACUAAAGUAAUUAAUUGGAUAAUUAAUUAGAUAAUAAAUUAGAAGCUACAGUAAAUAGUAGACUGAAGAUUGUGAGUGAGGGCACUAUCUAGUAUCUAGAGAAUAGAAUGAUAUGAUGCAAAAAUCAGAUAAUAUUUGAAAUGAACGGUUAUUA
RNAcentral lists this long non-coding RNA (4580 nucleotides) under Chelonus insularis. RNAcentral describes it as "uncharacterized LOC118070305". The record is from RNAcentral. Lineage: Eukaryota; Metazoa; Arthropoda; Insecta; Hymenoptera; Braconidae.